RNAcentral lists this transfer RNA (88 nucleotides) under Duganella sp. HH105. RNAcentral describes it as "tRNA-Asp". The record is from RNAcentral. Lineage: Bacteria; Pseudomonadati; Pseudomonadota; Betaproteobacteria; Burkholderiales; Oxalobacteraceae.
GCUGCCGCUGCCGGCGGCGCUGUCGGCGGUGUCGCUGCCGCUGCCGGUGCCGCUGUCGACGGCGGCCAGUUCGGCGCCGGCGGCAACC